UACGAGGGGUGCAAGCGUUGCUCGGAAUUAUUGGGCGUAAAGGGUAGGUAGGUGGUCUCAUUUGUCUGGGGGUGAAAUCCUUGAGCUUAACUCAAGAAGUGCCCUAGAAACGGUGAGACUCGAGUCUUGGAGAGGGUCGUGGAAUUACCUUGGUGUAGCGGUGAAAUGCGCAGAAUAUCAGGAGGAACACCGGUGGCGAAGGGCGGG
RNAcentral lists this ribosomal RNA (207 nucleotides) under uncultured bacterium. RNAcentral describes it as "partial 16S ribosomal RNA". It matches the Rfam family "Bacterial small subunit ribosomal RNA", at positions 524 to 726 of the family's 1533-position model. The record is from RNAcentral.